Molecule: microRNA precursor, 64 nt
Organism: Dasypus novemcinctus (nine-banded armadillo)
Lineage: Eukaryota; Metazoa; Chordata; Mammalia; Cingulata; Dasypodidae
Gene: dno-mir-218-2
Product: dno-mir-218-2
Source: Ensembl
UUGUGCUUGAUCUAACCAUGUGGUGGAACGAUGGAAACGGAACAUGGUUCUGUCAAGCACCGCG